CCCUAUGGGGUGCACCAGGCACAUGGGGGAGUUCGUUCGCAGUUUGUUCCACGGGGGUCUGAUGGUUCGUAAGUGAUUUGGGGUGAGUAUGUUGCUGGCGAUACUCGGGCGCUUUCUGAAUAAACAAUUUUUGCGGAGCUUCGGGCGAUUCCAGGUUCGUUCCAAGUAGUCUUUGCGACUUGUAAGUGCAUUUUAAUGAAUGCAUUACGGGUGAUUGUUGGGUGUUUUCAGACAGUGUAUUUUUUUGCAUUGCGCGGCCGGGGCAGAGGAGGAAGCGGGCGUAGGGGUUGCGAAGGAGGUUGCGGGCAGGGAUCGGGUUGGCGUGGCGGGAGAGC
This 335-nucleotide ribosomal RNA is filed under the name uncultured prokaryote. Its description in RNAcentral is "partial 16S ribosomal RNA". The record is from RNAcentral.